RNAcentral lists this ribosomal RNA (250 nucleotides) under uncultured prokaryote. RNAcentral describes it as "partial 16S ribosomal RNA". It matches the Rfam family "Bacterial small subunit ribosomal RNA", at positions 524 to 773 of the family's 1533-position model. The record is from RNAcentral.
UACGUAGGGGGCAAGCGUUAUCCGGAUUUACUGGGUGUAAAGGGAGCGCAGACGGCUUGUCAAGUCUGAAGUGAAACCCCGCGGCUCAACUGCGGGCUUGCUUUGGAAACUGAUGUGCUAGAGUGUCGGAGGGGUAAGCGGAAUUCCUAGUGCAGCGGUGAAAUGCGUAGAUAUUAGGAGGAACACCGGUGGCGAAGGCGGCUUACUGGACGACAACUGACGUUGAGGCUCGAAAGCGUGGGGAGCAAAC